This 468-nucleotide ribosomal RNA is filed under the name uncultured bacterium. Its description in RNAcentral is "partial 16S ribosomal RNA". It matches the Rfam family "Bacterial small subunit ribosomal RNA", at positions 28 to 507 of the family's 1533-position model. The record is from RNAcentral.
GACGAACGCUGGCGGCGUGCUUAACACAUGCAAGUCGAACGGAAAGGCCCUGCUAGCGUGCGGUGCCCGAGUGCCGAACGGGUGAGUAAGACGUGAGUAACCUGCCCUUGACUUUGGGAUAACUUAAGGAAGCUGGGGCUACUAUCGUACAGGAGCUCCCGCUGCAUGGUGGGGGGUGGAACGUUUCGGCGGUCGGGGAUGGACGCGCGGCUGAUCGGCUUGUUGGUGGGCUAGUGGCUUACCAAGGAAUGGGCGGGUAGCCGGCCUGAGAGGGUGACCGGCCACAAUGGGACUGAGGUAGGGCGCAGACUCCUACGGGAGGCAGCAGGGGCGAAUAUUACCCAGUGGGCGGAAGCCUGAUGCAGCAACGCCGCGGGCGGGAUGACGGCCUUCGGGUAGUAAACCGCUUUCGCCUGUGACGAAGCUUGUGUGACGGUAAUGGGUAAAGAAGCACCGGCUAACUACGUG